AUUGAACGCUGGCGGCAGGCCUAACACAUGCAAGUCGAGCGGAAACGAGUUAUCUAAACCUUCGGGGAACGAUAACGGCGUCGAGCGGCGGACGGGUGAGUAAUGCCUAGGAAGUUGCCCUGAUGUGGGGGAUAACCAUUGGAAACGAUGGCUAAUACCGCAUGAUGCCUACGGGCCAAAGAGGGGGACCUUCGGGCCUCUCGCGUCAGGAUAUGCCUAGGUGGGAUUAGCUAGUUGGUGAGGUAAGGGCUCACCAAGGCAACGAUCCCUAGCUGGUCUGAGAGGAUGAUCAGCCACACUGGAACUGAGACACGGUCCAGACUCCUACGGGAGGCAGCAGUGGGGAAUAUUGCACAAUGGGCGCAAGCCUGAUGCAGCCAUGCCGCGUGUGUGAAGAAGGCCUUCGGGUUGUAAAGCACUUUCAGUCGUGAGGAAGGUAGUGUGUUUAAUAGAUGCAUUAUUUGACGUUAGCGACAGAAGAAGCACCGGCUAACUCCGUGCCAGCAGCCGCGGUAAUACGGAGGGUGCGAGCGUUAAUCGGAAUUACUGGGCGUAAAGCGCAUGCAGGUGGUUUGUUAAGUCAGAUGUGAAAGCCCGGGGCUCAACCUCGGAAUAGCAUUUGAAACUGGCAGACUAGAGUACUGUAGAGGGGGGUAGAAUUUCAGGUGUAGCGGUGAAAUGCGUAGAGAUCUGAAGGAAUACCGGUGGCGAAGGCGGCCCCCUGGACAGAUACUGACACUCAGAUGCGAAAGCGUGGGGAGCAAACAGG
This 769-nucleotide ribosomal RNA is filed under the name uncultured Pseudoalteromonadaceae bacterium. RNAcentral's name for it is "bacterial SSU rRNA". It matches the Rfam family "Bacterial small subunit ribosomal RNA", at positions 28 to 776 of the family's 1533-position model. Lineage: Bacteria; Pseudomonadati; Pseudomonadota; Gammaproteobacteria; Alteromonadales; Pseudoalteromonadaceae. The record is from RNAcentral.